UAUUAUCAAAGCUUGCAAAGGAAGAACAAAAGAACGGCCAAGAUUAUUUCUAUUUACUCUUUAGGCUGAUCAUACUACUCACAAUUCAGUAAAAAGAUAUAUGCUUAUAGAGUUAAUGCAAGGACAGAAGCCUAUUAUGCCAAUUGAAGAGAAAAUUUCUACUUGGAGUAUCUUACCCUAGUAAGACAAUAUGUCUAGAGAAGAACUUCUUGUACUUCACAUUUAUCAACUAGAAAGAAGACCUGAAGAUGUGAAAAAAAAACAAUUAUAAGGCUAAAGGAGUUAUGCUUCAAGAAUAAAGAUAGAUUUGAUAAGCAACACAAGCUAAGACCAAAAGAUAUUCAAUUAGGUGAUUGUAUUUUGAUAUAUAAUAACAACUAGGAUAAUCAACAAA
RNAcentral lists this long non-coding RNA (394 nucleotides) under Physcomitrium patens. RNAcentral describes it as "long non-coding RNA (PPAT_LNC012041)". The record is from RNAcentral. Lineage: Eukaryota; Viridiplantae; Streptophyta; Bryopsida; Funariales; Funariaceae.